GCCCACGUGGUGGAAUUGGUAGACACACUACCUUGAGGUGGUAACGGCGAAAGCCAUGGGAGUUCGAGUCUCUCCGUGGGCACCA
Molecule: transfer RNA, 85 nt
Filed under: Solimonas sp. K1W22B-7
Lineage: Bacteria; Pseudomonadati; Pseudomonadota; Gammaproteobacteria; Nevskiales; Nevskiaceae
Description: tRNA-Leu
Rfam family: tRNA
About the family: Transfer RNA (tRNA) molecules are approximately 80 nucleotides in length. Their secondary structure includes four short double-helical elements and three loops (D, anti-codon, and T loops).
Source: RNAcentral